AUGUGGUGGUUCACUCACUCCCUCAAAAUAGGUGCACUCAAUGUCACAUAUGGUGGAGUCACUCAUCUCACUCAAGUGGUGGGGGUUGUGGCUCUCCUCACAUGGGAAUUGUGGCAACUCAUCAUAUAUGGGGCUAUUGGUGAAGUCACUCUCACUGUCAAUAUGGUGGCACAAGUCACUCAAGUCAUCAUAUGUCGCCGUGGUCGAAGUGAAAAUCCCAUGCUCAACCAUCUCAUCGUCGUCGCCGUGGACGAAGGCCGAAGAUGGCACAUCAUCGCUCUCCUCCAUGACCGAAGGGAAAAUCCCAUGCUCGAUCAUCUCGUCACCGUCGCCGUGGAUGAAGGCCGAUGUAGGCGUACUCGUCGGAGGUAG
RNAcentral lists this ribosomal RNA (372 nucleotides) under Triticum aestivum (bread wheat). Its description in RNAcentral is "partial small subunit ribosomal RNA". Lineage: Eukaryota; Viridiplantae; Streptophyta; Magnoliopsida; Poales; Poaceae. The record is from RNAcentral.